ACCAGACUCCUACGGGAGGCAGCAGUGGGGGAUAUUGCACAAUGGGGGAAACCCUGAUGCAGCGACGCCGCGUGGGUGAAGAAGUAUUUCGGUAUGUAAAGCCCUAUCAGCAGGGAAGAAAGAAGACGGUACCUGACUAAGAAGCCCCGGCUAACUACGUGCCGGCAGCCGCGGUAAUACGUAGGGGGCGAGCGUUAUCCGGAUUCACUGGGUGUAAAGGGAGCGUAGACGGCCGUGCAAGCCAGGAGUGAAAGCCCGGGGCGCAACCCCGGGACUGCUCUUGGAACUGUGCGGCUAGAGUGCGGGAGGGGCAGGCGGAAUUCCUAGUGUAGCGGUGAAAUGCGUAGAUAUCACGCAGAACCCCGAUUGCGAAGGCAGCCUUCCGGCGCCCUACUGACGCUGAGGCACGAAAGUGCGGGGAUCGAACAGGAUUAGAUACCCGAGUAAA
Molecule: ribosomal RNA, 448 nt
Filed under: uncultured bacterium
Lineage: Bacteria
Description: partial 16S ribosomal RNA
Rfam family: Bacterial small subunit ribosomal RNA
Source: RNAcentral